GCCCAGAUGGUGGAAUUGGUAGACACGCUACUUUGAGGGGGUAGUGCCGGUAACGGUGUGCAGGUUCGAGUCCUGUUCUGGGCACCA
Molecule: transfer RNA, 87 nt
Filed under: Bacteroidales bacterium
Lineage: Bacteria; Pseudomonadati; Bacteroidota; Bacteroidia; Bacteroidales
Description: tRNA-Leu
Rfam family: tRNA
About the family: Transfer RNA (tRNA) molecules are approximately 80 nucleotides in length.
Source: RNAcentral